This is a long non-coding RNA of Parus major (Great Tit), 1180 nucleotides long. NCBI's taxonomy places the organism in Eukaryota, Metazoa, Chordata, Aves, Passeriformes, Paridae. The record is from Ensembl.
UGGGAAUUAUCGGGAAUGACUGGGAAUUAUCAGGAAUGAUCAGGAAUGAUCGGGAAUGAUCAGGAAUUAUCGGGAAUGAUUUGGAAUGGUUGGGAAUGAUCAGGAAUGAUCGGGAAUGGGUGUGGGGCCGCUCCAAGGUGGAAGGGCUCCAAUCCCUCCGGAAUUCCCAAAAAAUAUUCCCAAAUGUCGCUGGGAUUCCCAAACUGGGCCCAGAUCCCUCUGGUAUUCCCCAAACUCGGCUCAAAUCCCUCAGGAGCGGAUCCCAGGGCUGGGAUCAGAUCCCAGGGCUGGGAUCAGAUCCCAGGAUUUGGGUCAGAUCCAUGGAUUUGGAUCAGAUCCCAGGAUUCCCAGUGGAUCCCUGGAUUAUGGAGUACUCAUGAAUAUUAAUGAGCGCUUAUGAAUAUUCACAACUCAGCCAAUCGCAGCCACACUCAGGGCCUGAACCCCUCCCAGCAUUCCCAAAUCCCCUCAAUCCCGGAAUUCCCGGCUCCCCCCGGCAGAGCCUCCUCCAGUUCCGCUUUAAUUCCAAGGACUUUUAUUAAUUUCACUUUAUUUCCAUUUUUAUUGUUUUUUAUUUCCUGCCCACACCCCGUGCCCAGGGAGGGGGAGGCACCAACCCCACCCCGAGCUGCUCCCGCUUUUCCCAAAAAAACCCCUGGAAAAGCCCCAGCGGGAAGGGGGGGACACAAAUUCCAGCCCCAUCCCUCCCUUUUCCCGGCGGGAAGCUCGGCUCGGGUUGUCCCGGUUUGGGAAUUCCAGAGGGUUUGGAGGCAGGAGCAGAGGAAGGAAAACAGUGCUGGGAACACCAGGGGAUCCCAGGGAAUGCCAGGGAAUAUCGGGAAUCUCCGAUGGAGCCGCGUUCCCAGCGCUCCCAGCCCGUCCAUCCCGGGGCUCCGCGCUGAUCCCUCUCCCAGCGAGGGUGUCCGGAAUUCCUGGAAUUCCUGGGAAUUCUGGGAAUGUUGUGGUCUCCAGAGGGGUCACUGCGUGUCCAGAUGGGAAUUCUGGGCUCUCCAGAGGGGUCAUUCCAUGUCUGGCCGGACACUCUGGGCUCUCCAGGGGGGUCACUCCGUGUCCGGCUGGGAAUUCUGGGAAUUCCAGGCUCUCCAGAGGGGUCACUGCAUGACCAGAUGGGAAUUCUGGGCUCUCCAGAGGGGUCACUCCAUGUCCGGCCGGACGCUCC